GUGCAGGAAUGCAGGAACUGAAAUCACAUUCCUUUCUCCUUUGUUUCGGAUGAGCCAUGUGGUCUGCCCAUAUAAGGAAAUCCAGAUCCUGUCCACCGAUUAGUUAAGGGUAUGUGCGGGUGGAGCUAUUAUUGGGAGGAGUUAUAGUUUUAUAAAAAGCAUGUACGCCAUGUGUUCAGCCCUCAGACCUGUUUUGGAAUGUUAAUUCAUCUGAGAACCGAUCGGUAUGUUAAUAAAGACUUUUUACUUCCUGAAGACCUGCAUCCAUCUCUCAGUGUCUUGCUUCUGCAAGUUUACUCGGUUACACUCUCAGUUCUUAUCCUACCCCACAAACCCUCUCUUUUACACUACACACAUAUACAAUGCAUCCCUACUCACACACAGACACACCGGAACACACAAUGCAUCACUUACACGCGCACACACACAGAAAUAAACAAACAGACACACACUGCAUUUAAUUACACACACAGAAACACACCUUGCAUUCCUUACACAAUAGAUCACUUACACAAUUUGGUAUCCCUAUACACUACAUUCCAUAAGAAAACACACACAUUACAUCCUCUACAAUAACACAUAACACAUCCCCUACACACAUACACUCCACUCCCUAUGAGAGAACUUAUGGGCGGGCCAUGUAGGUGGAUUUAUGGGUGGGCCUUGUAGGCCUACUCACAGUCAGACCCCGGGGGCCCAGACCUUGUUAAUUUUUGUGAGCACUGUUACAAACAAAGAGCAAAAAUGGGUCGCAAGAUUAUUCUGAGAACAGACAGCAGCUAAAAUAGCCUGCCCUUCGGUGGGUCCCUGCUCAGAACGCAAGCUGGUUUUAGCUCAUCUUGUGCCAUUACAGAGAGAACAUAUCUGAAGCAUAUCAGACUGGUCCCACCCAUACGGGCAGUCCAGAUCCGAAAUGCCAGCAAGUUCUCUCUGCACGAGAGAUACAGCAACCCCAGAUGAUUGUUUCAGCCUUGUUAGGCAUCAUCAGUGAGGCAUAGCUGAGGCACCGUGAGCAAGGGGUCCACGUCUGGAUUACCC
This is a non-coding RNA of Pelobates cultripes (western spadefoot toad), 1038 nucleotides long. NCBI's taxonomy places the organism in Eukaryota, Metazoa, Chordata, Amphibia, Anura, Pelobatidae. The record is from the annotation of a GenBank genome assembly.